Molecule: transfer RNA, 68 nt
Filed under: Tegula argyrostoma
Lineage: Eukaryota; Metazoa; Mollusca; Gastropoda; Trochida; Tegulidae
Description: Chlorostoma argyrostomum tRNA-Phe
Source: RNAcentral
CCAUUCUGGUAGCUCAAUUCAAGAGCAUAGCAUUGAAGCUGCUAAGGUGGGCAAAUAAGCUCCCGGAA